Molecule: non-coding RNA, 9582 nt
Organism: Megalopta genalis
Lineage: Eukaryota; Metazoa; Arthropoda; Insecta; Hymenoptera; Halictidae
Source: RefSeq, a predicted model, not a curated record
UACUUUUCAGAUAUUGGUGCAUGCUGGUCUCCGUCCACGGACCGGUCGAAUCCUACACUGACACACGACUCAACCGGCUAACACUCAUGGUUGUUCGACGAACGCGUAUCCGAGCGCCCGGCACAUUAAAAUACCGAUCCCGUUCGAAUUUCACCGGGUGUUCGGCGCGCACGUGCUCGGACCAAGGCUCGCGGUGCUUCUAAAUAGGAAGUACGGCUAGAAAGUGGAAAGUGAUUCACCGCAGCGGACUCAAAACGCCCAGAAUAACUGGUUCCACGUUGGGGAACGGCUUCGGGGUUCGGUCCCGGAUGGAUCCGCCUCGCGACUCGCGUGUUUCCCGACUCUUUUCAUUCAUGAAGGGACGAAGAUCGAAAGUCGUGGCCCGUGCCACGUGGUUGCCGAACGUCAGCUGAUCCCGGCCACGCGUCGCGUUACCUCGCGGCCCGCGUUCUCGCGCGCGUUUGCGUUAUCCGGCGGAGUUGGAUCGCGGCUUUCGGGCGGAAUCGAUCGGGGAACGUUCCGGUGAGUGGCCCGACGCCGAUUUUUCCGAUCGUCGAACGGUGUCAGUGGACCUGCCGGCGGUUCCUCGACGAUGUUAUCGCGAUCGAGAUGGCUGAGAGCGAUAGGCGUGCGGAGUGCCGCGAAAAACUAGCUCGAUAAGCAUCGACGCGGUCGACCGGUACGCGCGAGCAGUCCGAUAAGGGAGCACCGUUCGGAGCACGUGCAGAAGAGAGCCGGAAACGCGGCGAGAGCAACGGCCGAGUUAUUUGGAUGCAUUUAAGAAGAUUCAAGGAGGUUGCUCGAGCGGGGGCUCCGCGAUUCGACCGGUAUCGCGGAUUCUUGGAGCGACUCGGACCUCUAGGAUAAACGGAACCGGGUGUGUACCUCCCAGGGGAACGCCUCGGAUCGGCUCCAGGAUCGGGGCGCACGUGUCUGUACGCGCGAACACUCGCCAAGCGUCUACGCGUCUGUACCAAGCGUGAUUUCGCGGUGCAUGCCAUCCGAGCGACGAAACACCGACAACUGUGUCUGGUUCGAACCGGAUUUCUCGCUCGCUCGACACACGCUCCUUUCCCACUACUCGCCGAGAGCACGUUUUAAUCGGGAUUCGAUCCACGCGCGGAUGCGGAUCAUUCGGGGAACCUACUUUAUCGGCAACGACUCGGUUCUUGCGCUCAGUUCCUUCGUGAUCGACCACUGGUCGCGCUUCGACGUUCGUGCGAUCAUUUAUUCGCGAGAACGGGCCACUCGGAGCGGUGUACCGACGCUUUAAAAUUCGGAGCCUUUAGGCCACGCCCUCUCCGGCAACUCUAGAUCAGGCGUAUGCGGGGAUUGUACCUUGAUGAACUGCCCUAGCUUUGUUAAAAUCGAGGGUAGCUGAGGUACUAUGAUUUAGGACACUCUAAACUAGGCUGUGGCAAAGAAUGUAACAUGGUACGUUGUCUUGGUUCGGUUUAAUUGGAAGUAACGAAACCACGCUCAUCUAGAACUGUUUAGAUUAGGUACGGGUGAAGUUUGCUCCUUGGAGCACUGCUCUGGCACUAGAAAAAUCGAGGCUAUUGUCACAAGUGCACUUUAUGCACUUAUGGCAAAAUACAGAACAGUUUGAAGACACGAGAAGAAUUUACCCAUAUCGUUACAUUGUUUUCAAUUGGUUAAACCUGUUAAAAGAGAGGAAUACAUUUUUAUUUAACUGUUGCUUUAUACAAUUUUUAUUUUGCAUAAAGAUCCACUGUCCGGCCACAAGGAUCUACUCUAAUAAAGAAGAUAGCGGUGUAAACCACACCUAAUUUAUUCCAGAGCAUUGCUUGUUCCAGGGCAAAGAAAUGCCUGACGAAAUACUUUUCUGACGCGAGACGAUUCUCAAGGAUGUUCAAUCGUGACACCUGUCGACUCUAAGUUAGAGACUUCUAGAGUACUUUCCCUUCUACGUCGAGCUGUGGUUACGAGUUGAACAUCGUGGAAUCUAGAUUGAGAUUCGGGGCCAGUGAAAGAGUAUUUACCUCAUGUUGUAGGAGGCAACUGCUGUCGCGAGAUCGGAUGCUGCCAGUGCCGACAGGGACCCAUCGAAAUCGGCGGCCAGGUGUUCCGCCAGCUCCUCCACCUGGGUAGACCAACCUUGUCCCGAGCCGUUACUUCCGACGGAUCCUGCGAACGCGGGAAACAUUCAGUUCCAUGUAUACCACGGCGAUCGCGAAGCCCAUCGGGGCCUAAGCACGAAGAGGACCGUUCGAUCUGAUCUUCCCGAACCGAUUUCUAUUUCCUACCACCUUGAGCGUUGGCAUAAUUGAUGUAGAACUGAUGAUGCAUCGCCUCUAUCCGCGACUUCGUGUCCUGGAGGCUCGAGGCUCGGCGUCUGUUCUUCAACGUUACCGCUAGCGAAACGACAGAUUGGUACCCGAGGCGGCCUAAGCAGAAGGGAAACAGAGCAGAGGGGAAUACUAACCAUCUCUUCGGGGAUGCUUCUUCUCGAGGUCUGUGAGCUGCUGCAACGGCUCCCCGGCCCGCCGUUUCAGGCCAGCUUGCUGGCAAUUCGGGGCAUGGUCCGAGGAUUGACUGAGAUGCUCCGGCGACCCGCUGUUCGAACGUAUCUGGACGCCGUCCUCCGGAGAGUUCUUCGAAUGAGCUGAUCGGAGACAGAGGAGCAUGGGGACUUACGUGCUGAGUAGCGAUGGGGUCGCAUCUGUUCGGACGGACCGGGGACAGCUGCUCGUACGGGGGCGAUGGCGUGUUGGGAAACCAUAUCGUCCCGUUCAAAGCAUCCGCGCCGCCGUCCAUGAUGAAUUGAAGCUCCAUUCAACGGCCCUAACGUCCCGACGCACUCGAACCAGGGUUCGUUUCCCGUCGCACUGCUCUUCGAACGUAUCGAUCGUCACGAUCCUGAUCACGGUUACGGAUCGUUCACGGCGGCCGACUCUUCGGAGAACGGUUUGGUAAGGUAUCGGUUGAAAGAGAAGGCGAUAAGUCCAGCCCCUGAUCUGGUCAUCGACGAUGAUUCCGGGAUUCAUCAAGACUUGCUGGCUUCCCUUUCGACGUUCGAAUCGCGCGUACACAUAUCGUGGUUGUACAAUUCUUCUAGUUUCUCGUUUCUAACCAACACGUUCCCCGUUCCCGGCGCGGCCCCCGAAAUUGCCGCUUGCUGGAUCCACCUGAAGGUCCCGGGACUGCACGGCGCAUCACUCGAAUAACCGUGAAUUCAGCGAGAUUUUCGCGGACGGGUGAGUAAUCCUUAGAACAUCACGAAGAAGCUGUUGUACAAUUUCUUGAUGCCAGUGGUCUCGCGCUGCCGAUGCGUUUCCAAUAGUGCGCAACCCCGCGACUUCAGGGACAAAAAACGCGAAAAGACGACGAACGCGUCCUCGAAUACCAUCGCCACACCUUGGCUGCAACGCAUCUUGUUACCGAUUUCCGUCGAAACUCGAAGCGGCGGGAAAGGACGACGGUCCGCUCUCUGCUCUGCUGUCGAACGUAUCCUCGAUCCUUCCGGCACGAUGGUCUGUCUCCCCGUGAAACGAAAGUCGUGGUAAAAGUCGCUUUACUCGUAGGAAAAGUCGCUUCGGCAAGAAACUCUGGUCUCGGUUCUGUCCUGGUCGAUCCUCUGUAAACCCUUGGCGAAAGCUUUUACGUAUAUCCUCGGUAAGGUCAACGGUUGCGAAUGGUUGCUGCUCUCUGCGGGUGUCACUGGACACUUACAAAAUAUCUUGCUAGUUUUCUAACGACUAUGCCUCACACACUUGAUAGUGUCUUGGUAAUCGAAGGCCUUCGCCUGGCACGUCGUCACCACAUUUUCAGGAUCCUUCGCUCCAUGGUGCCGAUGGAAACAGAAACUCGGUCCCGGAAGAAAGGCGAGGCUCUGCGCCGUAAGACCAAAUCGUAUGAGUGUUUCGCAACCGGACGUUUCCCAAAGUCCUCCGGAUCGUCGAGAGGAGACGGAUCCCUUCGGUGAAGGCCAACCAGACACUAUGCUUCCGCUUCCAAGAUCAACCAACCAACUUCCGGCGCUGUCCCGGGCGGGUUUGCUUUCUCCAAAACGGUUCCGGCGUUUGGCCAGGCGUUAGCCGAUAUCAGUGUCUCUCAAAGAGCAACAACCAGUAGAAACGGGCCAUCCAAUUGGCGAUCGAGGCUGCAGGUGUUGUUCGAGGAUCUCUUAUCGAACGGCUUAUCGAACGGUGCCCACGAUAAAAAAAGAAAACUGCCGUGAGACCGGCAGAGAGGAACGCGCGAUCUUCGCCGGGUGGAUCUCGUUGGUUCGCGAGACGUGACUCGGUUUAACGAUCGUUCGAUGAUAUUCUCGUUUCGAGAUCGAUUGCGUGGGCGUCGAAACGCAUCGACCGCUCUAUGGAGUCACUUCCUGCGCUGUGCUCCGCUUAUGCUCGCGAACUCGCGCUGCCACCGCUGACCGACUUCGAGCAACUGAGAUGGGAAUCGGACAGGCGGAUGUCUCUCGGAUCCACGGGCCUUAAGAACGACGUCGGACAGCAAAUUGCGCGACACUGGCGACGUUUAAAGUUUUCAGCCGAAUGCUCCGGCGAUGUCUUCUGUCUAAGAACGAUCCGGGUAUCUGAUCCAAUCGCGACCGCUUGUAUUAAAAGGCUGACCAAUAGUGUCUACGCUGGAGGGUCGACCCGACCGUCAAUUGGAACCACUCAGCGCUGAUGAGCAAAAUGUGACUCGGUUUACCUCGUAGAAUCGUCCUGUAUACGGUCACGUACUGGAUUCGGAUUCUGAUUAAUACCUGACCCCCUCCAAUUGGCUAACGACGAUAUUCCUACACGGCCUAAUCGCUCGAAAGUUUCUUCCCGAAUUCACGUUCCAGUUCCGAACCGAUACUCCCCUCGGCCGCCUAGAUAUCUCGACGGAGUAGAAUGACGACGCUCGGCGUCUCUCGAUCGUAACGUAGUUUGCGCGUCGCAACAGAUGUCUGUUUGCCACGUGGAUUAAUUAAUCGCGGAGAUGUUAUCCGCUGAUACCGACGCGGCCGUUUUUCGCUGGGAGCAACGCGGGUUCGCACGCGCUCGCUGGUUCGCUCGCUCGCUCGCUCUCGAACAACAGGAAGCUGCAGAUUGCUCGGGUGCCGACGAACCUUCUUCGGUGUCGAUCGCCCGUUGAAUUCAGCCGUCUUUUCGUCGCUUUCUUCCAGGUUACUGUUAUCGCAGCCACGUGUCCGCCUGCUCGGGGACCGACUGUUGUCACUCUCGGCUGCUCUAGAGCGCUUCUCCGCCUCGCGCGUGUUUGAUCAGAAAUUCUAGCCCGCUUUGCGGUGGGAUUACGCAACGCGACGAGAACGAACAGAUUCUUUGAUCCGUCGAACGAGGAGCACGGUAGCGAUCCCUUCGGAGAUUCGUUAACUAAUGCCGGCCGUAGCAGAACCUGAAACAACAAAACCAAUGUACGGACAGGCACACCGGCUCGCGUCGGCUGAGAAACUUUUCCACGGGCGAGCUGCCGCGCAACGUUCAUUUAUUCCAAUCGUUUCGACAAAUCAUGUUUCUUUACAGUCCUCGCGACAGGGUCACGGCUGCGCUAAACAAAUUCCCGUCGGUCGAAUGUGCCGUCGUUACGCUGCUGACCGGUUGCUCCGACGGGCGUUUCUAUGGCUCAGGGAGCAAAGAAGCCACGCCUACUCGGGACAAUCUACGCGCGGGAGGGGGGAGAGAUUUUUCGGUGCUUGAUUUUCGGAGCAUUUAAAAUAGCGGCUGGAUCUGGCUGUGAAGGGGACACCGUUCUAGCUCCAGUCGAACUGGGAACACAGAAGCCACGCUCACUUAGAAUAGUCUGCGCACAGAGGAUGGAGAUCUUCCGGGGUUGGUUUGUCGGGUGUAUAAAAUUUACGCUGGUCCUGACUAUGAAACGAGUACUUUUCUGAGAAUAGAACGAUCUAUACAGAAAGAGCAAGGUUCUUCAGGGUUUAAUUUUUAGAGAGUGUGAAAUAUUGGAGCUGGCGCUUCGAGGCACUGGUUUGUCUCUGAGAGCAACGAAGCCACGCCCACCGCGGACAGAGUACACCGCAUGGCUGGAUGCAUUCGGCUGCAAGUACAUCGGGGCGCCAUCCAUGCAGUCGAGCAAUCAACGUUCGCUUUCAUCGUCCUCGCUUCCCAGCUCUGCGCUCGUCGUGCAUCAUGCGUUCUACGAGCGGGCACAUCCGUUCCUCGACGGAGAGAGAGCCGGGCCAAAGCAACGGGUUUAGAGGAAAGAUCGCAGACGCGGGAAGGAUGACGAUCAGCCGUAGGACCUGCGCACGUGUGCUGUGUAUCGUUCUCAGCGAGAUCAACGACCACGGUCCACGUAGAAUCGUCUGGCGGCCUUGUUUCUCGUCAUCGCGCGGAAUGCGUGCACGCGACGCGUCGCAUCAACGAGAUUAUUCGCUUGCGCGACCGCCGUUCGAUGGGUCGAGGGUUCGACCGGCUUGGAUCAUCGUUUUAGGCGGUCACCGGCACCGUCGCAACCCUUUCAACGGCCGCGGAUCGACGUCAUACAUCAAAUAAAGUUCCCUACUGUUCUAGCCGGCGAAAGCGCGCGCCCGCCAACGGUUAACGAACCGCCUUGACCAAUUAAUCAACGAUCGCGUGUUCGCUCCGUCUUCGAGAAUCCCGCGUUAGCCGGAAGCCGAACGUACCCCGGGGCUCCGACGCUCUCGUUCGCGUGCGUCUUAGGAGGCGAAUCUGCGAGAAUGGCGGUCUCAAUUUCCCGCGAGCACCGCGUCAUUGUGCAAAGGCCUGCCUGUAAAGUGCUAACUUGCCUCGUGCACGUGGAAACCGCCACGGACCCGGACACACAUCUCCGUUCCCGCAAAUUAUACCAAGACGCCAAGGUCGUUACGUAUCUCUGUCCCGUAAUGGACGAACGCACGUUCGAACCACGUGUAACAUCUCCUGAGCCGCCUGUCUCUGAUUGAAAUUAUAAACCGGUCGUUACAUCCACGUUACACCGAUGCGGAUCCCCGCGCGGUCGCCGCUAUCGGCGACUCGAUCAGCCGUGAAACGGACUGCACAGCGAAUCGCAUCCGAACAACGACGACGCGGACGAUACUCUCUCGUCAUACGACUUUUACAGAAAUACGAAACGGUGUCUGCGGAGUCGCUGGAAAACGUUCAUUAAUCUCGAGGAUGAGUCAGUCGACGUUUCUGCGCGCGAUUUCUUGCGAGGCCUGGCGACAUUCUUCUUCCAGGACGCCGCUCCAAACUUGGUACCGAUGAUUCAACCCCGGCACGCUGUGCAGGAUCGUUCUCGAGCCUAAAACCCCCGCGGUCUCGUUGGCGAUUCCGUAGAAUAUCCUGGAGAUCCUGGAGUGCACCAGAGCCAUGGCGCAGAGGGGACAAGGCUCCUUCAGCAAGAAGAUCCAGUAGCCUGUGCAGAGAUAGGGUCCGCACUUCUCGGAGUUCUUCUCCGAAUCUUCGGGGUUUACUUUCGAAUUGUUUCUUCUUCCAGGUAGAACUACGGCCGUCUUUAGAGGUUUUUCAUUCGGCAGAGGUAAACUAGACAAGGCUUCUGGAAACCGUAAGGGAGCUUCUUCGACGUACUUCCUCUUGAGCCACUCCUCCCUCGCCGCAUAGUUCUCGGCGCCCUCUUCAUCGAUGAUCUUCGGAGAUCGAUUAAUGCCCUUCUCUAGAUUCCCGUCCAGCUUCCAAGCGCCGCCACCUUGAAGUUUCGCAACAAGAUCCACCGCCAACAUGGCUGCGUGCCACAUGGGGUGCAGAUCGAUCCUCGACGCUGCUAUCGCGAGGAUCCUCCCAUCUUCUGGAUCGACGAUCACCGCGCUGCCGUUGCAGAUCUUGUUCCCCACAGCUUCCAAUCUCGCAGCUUUCACAGCAACGUCCAUGUACCCUUCGAUCAGAUCCAGAUGGUUCUCCGUGAAGACCGAUCCAUCGAUCAGUUUCUCCACAUUGGGAUCCGGAUGGAAGUUCAGCGGCCAGACCUUGGAGGCUCGGACUGCCUGAGCUUUGGUCCUCGCGGCUCUACUUGGCACCUUUAUCGUUUGAAAAUCGUCCUCCAGCGAAUCCAGAUCGAACCCUUUCUCCUUCAACGUCGUCUUCAGCUCGUCUUCGGUCAAAUGCUCCUCGGGGGAUCCCGGGGGUCUCGGAGGCGCCAGGAGGAGCUUGUUGGAGGAGCAACGCUUCAGAUGACUAAAUCCCGGCAGAAUCGCCGAUAUCUUUUGUAUCGCCGUCGAAAUGUCUUUCUUCUGCUUGAGGAUGCCCACGUAGACGUCCUCCAGCGGCGGAUCAUCCGUGAACUCCGAGCUUAAAAUCGGCUUUGCUAUCCAGCCUCUAGCCUUCUGAGCUUUCUCCUCCUUGGGACGCUUCGCGGCCGCCAUUUCCCCUGAAAAGACGGUGUCUUCGUUUUACGUCGAACCUUCUUUCUUGCUUAGUUAGUCUUCGUCUCCACGGAGACUGCGGGACGCGACAGGUGUCAAUGGGGCGGGCGAUCGAUCGAAAAGGCAGACCAUAUCACGAUUCUUCCGUCGGGGCAUACGUGGCCCGAAUGGUCGCGAUCGCAAGGGGAUCGUACGAUCUUCGGUCGACGAUUAUUAACUGUCGAUAUCGCGCCGAUUAGCAGCACGCCAGCCUAGAAACGCAGCGCCGAGAUCGAUACGGGCCGAUUAACAAUCACGGCGAGAGCCCGUUAACGAUCCGCAGGGGACGCUUUCUCGCAGUGAAUGUAAUCACGCUUAGGCGGAAGAAUAUCCGCGACGGACGCUUUGUGGGAGAGUCGUUGCUCGUUGCGGUGCUCUUGGUACGACUCGCAGGAGGAGAAGCGAUUUUAAAUUGCUGUCAAGUUGGGCCAUGGUCGGAUCGAUUGUCGGAGUUAGGCGCAAUUGUGCGACGUCGAUCCGCGGACAGAAGGAGCAUAAGGUCUUUGUUGCUAUGCCGGUGGAGCCGUAAUCGCUUUUCAAUUAGAACCGAAUCUGUUCUCAGCGUCGCGGAACUAUGAGGUGGCUGCUGCACGGCUGCACCAUCUUCGAUCAGCCCGUAAGAAAAAAGCGCAACGAAAUCGGCGGACAAUAUACUUUGUAUCUUAAAUCGCGGUAAAAUCAGCCGAAAUUACCGAGUCACCACGGAUUAAAGCAAACGGUAUCGAAAGAAAAAUUGGCGUUAACUGUUCCGUUUGUUUUCUCGACCGUUACUGAAAACACGAACACGCGGCAAGCGUGUAUUUACGAUGACGGGUCUAUUAUCAGAUAACGAGAUAACGGCUCGAGUUGAUGUACCGAAAAUUUUCCGACACUGAAAAUUCAAGGACCCGUGUGCAUCUCCUCAAUAGCGCCGGCAAUAGAGUAUCGUGGAACAGGGGAGAGCGAUCGAUGCGAUAAAAACGAUGGGAUUCGGUGACUCGUAAUGGGGAAAAACAGUGGCACACGUUCAUUCGUAACGGAAAUACGAACGACGAUUGUUAGGAAAUGAGUUCUUAAAGCGCAUUAACCGGCGAGAGGGAAAUAUGCCACGGUCAGAUGAUCUGUGAAUGGAUAAAUGAGUGGACAGGACAGAUUAAAUUAUAAAACGUUCAUAGGGUAAUGGCGUGCGGCGAUCACGAGGUUAUUGUUGAAGCUGGUCAUUAGACGAACAAUAAUUUUAUUACACAAACUAA